This 443-nucleotide ribosomal RNA is filed under the name uncultured bacterium. Its description in RNAcentral is "bacterial SSU rRNA". It matches the Rfam family "Bacterial small subunit ribosomal RNA", at positions 30 to 476 of the family's 1533-position model. The record is from RNAcentral.
AUUGAACGCUGGCGGAAUGCUUUACACAUGCAAGUCGAACGGUAGAGGGGGCAACCCCCUUGAGAGUGGCGAACGGGUGAGUAAUAUAUCGGAACGUGCCCAGUCGUGGGGAUAACGUAGCGAAAGUUACGCUAAUACCGCAUACGAUCUAAGGAUGAAAGCGGGGGAUCGCAAGACCUCGCGCGAUUGGAGCGGCCGAUAUCAGAUUAGGUAGUUGGUGAGGUAAAGGCUCACCAAGCCAACGAUCUGUAGCUGGUCUGAGAGGACGACCAGCCACACUGGAACUGAGACACGGUCCAGACUCCUACGGGAGGCAGCAGUGGGGGAAUUUUGGACAAUGGGACGCAAGUCUGAUCCAGCCAUUCCGCGUGCAGGAUGAACGGCCCUCGGGUUGUAAACUGCUUUUUGUACGGAACGAAAGGUUUCUAUAAUACUAGGAGCUC